This 696-nucleotide ribosomal RNA is filed under the name Triticum aestivum (bread wheat). Its description in RNAcentral is "partial small subunit ribosomal RNA". The record is from RNAcentral. Lineage: Eukaryota; Viridiplantae; Streptophyta; Magnoliopsida; Poales; Poaceae.
AUGUUCAGCGACGGCGCGUCCGGGCUGCUCCUCCUGGUCCUGGCGGCCUUCGCCGCGGCGGCCGCCGCCGCGUCCGAGGGCGACGUGCUGCUGACCUUCCGGGCGACCCUGCGCGGGCCCGUGGGCGACCGCCCUCCGGCGCCGCUCGACCAGUGGGUGCUCGGGCUCCGCCUCGAGUACCUUGGCCUGCAGGGCGCCGCCCCUGACAUGGCCCCGCUCGCGGCCCUCUUGGGCCUCCGCGUGCUCAGCUUCGCCAACAACAACCUCACGGGCGCGUUCCCGGCUGGGCUCUCCGUGCUCCCUGCCCUCAAGACGCUCUACCUCUCCCGGAACCGCCUCACCGGCGACAUCCCCGACGGCGCCUUCGCGGACAUGCGGGGGCUCAAGAAGCUCUUGCUCGGAGACAACGCCUUCACGGGGCCCAUCCCAGGCUCCAUCACCUCGCCCAAGCUGCUCGGGGUACAGCUCGCCAGGAACCGCUUCCAGGGGGCAAUCCGGAACUUCGACCAGAAGGACCUCCAGCUCUUCAACGUCUCCAACAACCAACUCUCCGGCCCCAUCCCCGAAGUGCUCAGCCGGUUCGACGCCGCCUCGUUCCAAGGUGAGUUCGAUCGUUCGUUGCACGGCGACGUGCCUGCACUUCAAGUUAUUAUCAGUUCCGAGGAAUUAAAGGUUGAUGAAGUAGGGACUGUCUAA